This 400-nucleotide ribosomal RNA is filed under the name uncultured bacterium. RNAcentral describes it as "bacterial SSU rRNA". It matches the Rfam family "Bacterial small subunit ribosomal RNA", at positions 355 to 779 of the family's 1533-position model. The record is from RNAcentral.
UUAGGAAUCUUGCGCAAUGGACGAAAGUCUGACGCAGCGACAUCGCGUGAAGGAUGAAGGCCCUCGGGUCGUAAACUUCUUUUAUUGUGCCAUGAAGGCACUUUGAAUCAACAGCUACUAACUACGUGCCAGCAGUCGCGGUAAUACGUAGGCUGUAAGCGUUACCCGGUUUUAUUGGGCGUAAAGCGUCUGUAGGUGGUUUGAUAAGUCUUGUUUCAAAGCCCCCAGCUCAACUGGGGACAGGGGCAGGAUACUGUCAGACUAGAGUGAUAUCGGAGUUACUGGAAUUUUUAGUGUAGGGGUAAAAUCCGUGGAUACUAAAAAGAACACCAAGCGCGAAGGCGGGUAACUAGGUAUAUACUGACACUCAGAGACGAAAGCUAGGGUAGUCAAUCAGAUU